ACCCGGUGCUUGCACCGGUGAUUAGUGGCGAACGGGUGAGUAACACGUGAGUAACCUGCCCUUAACUCUGGGAUAAGCCUGGGAAACUGGGUCUAAUACCGGAUAUGACUCCUCAUCGCAUGGUGGGGGGUGGAAAGCUUUAUUGUGGUUUUGGAUGGACUCGCGGCCUAUCAGCUUGUUGGUGAGGUAAUGGCUCACCAAGGCGACGACGGGUAGCCGGCCUGAGAGGGUGACCGGCCACACUGGGACUGAGACACGGCCCAGACUCCUACGGGAGGCAGCAGUGGGGAAUAUUGCACAAUGGGCGCAAGCCUGAUGCAGCGACGCCGCGUGAGGGAUGACGGCCUUCGGG
Molecule: ribosomal RNA, 352 nt
Filed under: uncultured bacterium
Lineage: Bacteria
Description: bacterial SSU rRNA
Rfam family: Bacterial small subunit ribosomal RNA
Source: RNAcentral